RNAcentral lists this transfer RNA (90 nucleotides) under Selenomonadaceae bacterium. RNAcentral's name for it is "tRNA-Ser". It matches the Rfam family "tRNA". Rfam says of the family: Transfer RNA (tRNA) molecules are approximately 80 nucleotides in length. Their secondary structure includes four short double-helical elements and three loops (D, anti-codon, and T loops). RNAcentral also lists the same sequence under 1 other name. The record is from RNAcentral. Lineage: Bacteria; Bacillati; Bacillota; Negativicutes; Selenomonadales; Selenomonadaceae.
GGAGAGUUGUCCGAGUGGUUGAAGGAGCACGACUGGAAAUCGUGUGUGCGCUAUCACGUACCGAGAGUUCGAAUCUCUCACUCUCCGCCA